Molecule: ribosomal RNA, 427 nt
Filed under: uncultured bacterium
Lineage: Bacteria
Description: bacterial SSU rRNA
Rfam family: Bacterial small subunit ribosomal RNA
Source: RNAcentral
UGGGGAAUUUUGGACAAUGGGCGCAAGCCUGAUCCAGCAAUGCCGCGUGCAGGAUGAAGGCCUUCGGGUUGUAAACUGCUUUUGUACGGAACGAAAAGGCUCUGGUUAAUACCUGGGGCUCAUGACGGUACCGUAAGAAUAAGCACCGGCUAACUACGUGCCAGCAGCCGCGGUGAUACGUAGGGUGCAAGCGUUAAUCGGAAUUACUGGGCGUAAAGCGUGCGCAGGCGGUUAUGUAAGACAGAUGUGAAAUCCCCGGGCUCAACCUGGGACCUGCAUUUGUGACUGCAUAGCUAGAGUACGGCAGAGGGGGAUGGAAUUCCGCGUGUAGCAGUGAAAUGCGUAGAUAUGCGGAGGAAUACCGGUGGCGAAGGCGGCCCCCUGGACAAAGACUGACGCUCAGGUGCGAAAGCUUGGGGAGCAAACA